UUAUUUGAUUUACAGGUUGACUCAGACGCAAAGAUGCAGAGUUAAGUGGUCCACCGGGGGCCCCGACCGCGGACGGCAGGGUCACCCCCGAGGCAACAUGGUGUGCAAGUACAAAGGGUUGGAGGUCGGGCCCGGAAGCCCUUACUCUUCAAUGAUCCCUCCGCAGGUUCACCUACGGAGA
This 181-nucleotide unclassified non-coding RNA is filed under the name uncultured fungus. RNAcentral describes it as "sequence contains ITS1". The record is from RNAcentral. Lineage: Eukaryota; Fungi.